CGCCAUUUUCGGCGCCGAGGGGAGAGCGGCGGCUGGCGGAAGAAGAGCAGAGCAGCAGCAGCCGCCGCCGCGCCCCCUCCCCCACCCCGCCGGGCCGCGAGCAGGUACUGCCCCCUCCCGGGGCGUGGGCGUGGCCAGGCUGCUUCCCGGAAGGUGGCGUGAGCCGGAGCCGCUCGCUGGGGGCCAUGAGCGGAGCGUUAUGCCUCAUCCUACAAAUGGAGAUGAAUGCAUGUGACUGAUAGUGGU
Molecule: long non-coding RNA, 246 nt
Filed under: Chelydra serpentina (North American snapping turtle)
Lineage: Eukaryota; Metazoa; Chordata; Testudines; Chelydridae
Description: lncRNA (ENSCSRG00000000745.1)
Source: RNAcentral